This 253-nucleotide ribosomal RNA is filed under the name uncultured bacterium. Its description in RNAcentral is "partial 16S ribosomal RNA". It matches the Rfam family "Bacterial small subunit ribosomal RNA", at positions 524 to 776 of the family's 1533-position model. The record is from RNAcentral.
UACGUAGGGUGCGAGCGUUAAUCGGAAUUACUGGGCGUAAAGUGUGCGCAGGCGGCCGCGCAAGUCGAGUGUGAAAGCCCCGAGCUUAACUUGGGAAUUGCGCUCGAAACUACGUGGCUGGAGUGUGGCAGAGGGGGGUGGAAUUCCGCGUGUAGCAGUGAAAUGCGUAGAGAUGCGGAGGAACACCGAUGGCGAAGGCAGCCCCCUGGGCCAACACUGACGCUCAGGCACGAAAGCGUGGGGAGCAAACAGG